CUUUUCAAAAAGGAGCUGUACUCCCUCUUGCUAUAUGUGACUUCUGCUCCUGUAUUUACUCGCCAUAGAGGCAGUAAGGUCUACUCUUGCUGUAGACCUUGUUGAGACACUAUAUGUUGCUGUAACUGUUGUCCCCAUGUAAGAGUAAUGCCUUCAUUUCUAGUUUUCUUUGGUGAACGUCUAUUUUAUGAAACAACUUAAUACUUUAAUGAAACAUAUUCUUUGGUACAUUAUUGUUUUAAGGGGUGUUUUUGAACAUUUACAACCUUUGCCUGAAAAUCCACAGAUUUUUUCUUGUUGGAUAGCAGGCACAAGCAGGCCUGACCCUUUAACUAUUUAUACAAGAUAAGUAGAAUCCCUUGAACCCAUUGUGACUUCUUGGUUGAUUUUUUUAAGGAUUCAUCCCUGUGACAAAUUCAUGUUGCAGAACACAUCUGGUAUGGCAGUUUGCUGCUGUACCACCACUGCUUACAACAGAUGUAGUCCGUUAUGCUGUGAAACUGUUUUACUCUGUUUCAUCAAAAACAGUUUGGGGACACAACAUUCUUAAUGAUUGAAUAAGAAGGAAAUAAUCAAUGAUUCUUCUGGCACAGGAGAAUGUGAGGACCAGCUGUUACCAACUUCAGUCUUCCUUACAGUCCCAGCCCUACGUAACCAACACAUAUUCACAAACUCAACCAACUGAUGUGGUCCAGGAUCAGGAUUUGUGCCUUGUCAGAGGGCCGACUUGUAAGAAGGUUUCUCAAACGUGGAAGCUGACCUAUUAUAUUUAAAAAUCCUCUGCCACAUCUGUUGCUAACUGGAUUCACUACAUAGACAGCUGUUAGUAUCUUGUGUUUAGUAGCCAGAGCUCACUGUUGUAUUCAGUCAGUGUUACCCGGAGCAGAGUACCAGCCUUUCACAGCUUGCUUUGAGGCAGAGGCAAAGCACUGACGAGGCUGCGUGCAGCAGGCCCUGUAGGACUUUGCUCCCCUUCUCAAUUUGUAGCUGAUGUGGCUGUGACUAGUACUGCUCACAAGGUGUGGGCUGAGAAGUGCCGAUCCAGUUAAUUACCAAAACUUUCCAUCUAUGGGCUGGGCUCGUUAUGAAGACCUUUACAGAAGGCAGUUAAGUCAGUAGGAAAACUGUGUUUAUUUCAAUACACGCUGUUAGAUCAGGCCUCAAGAAUGAAGCACAACUGGUGAUAUUCUGGUAUGACUUCUUCUGUCAGGAAGGUUUGCGUUACGCCUAGGAGGCUCUGCCGUGGAUAUUGGCCAGCAAAUGCUCCAGUUUCCUCCGAAGGAAACACGCACUUGUAUUUCAUCUACUCUCCACCAGGAGGCACAGUUUUCCUACCAAACCACUGAAAAAAUAAUAGAAAAAAAAAAUGCGUUAUUCCACUGUAUUCCGUCUGAUUUAAACCUUCAUCUUUACACUGGUGAGAACCCCAAAUAAAAAACGCUUAAAGAUACCA
RNAcentral lists this long non-coding RNA (1453 nucleotides) under Anser brachyrhynchus (Pink-footed goose). RNAcentral's name for it is "lncRNA (ENSABRG00000023122.1)". Lineage: Eukaryota; Metazoa; Chordata; Aves; Anseriformes; Anatidae. The record is from RNAcentral.